AUGACAGGCCCAAAGUCUCGCUCGUCUCCCUUUCUAACGGUGGACACACACGGGACUCGGAUCUUGGGUCGUCGGAGAAGAAUCAGCAGCAGGAAAUCAACCAGAGAAAGGAUGCACACCAGAGGGUACAUAGCACCAGAGGUCAUGGACACCGGAAAUGUUACAGUCAAGUCAAAUAUGUACAGUUUGGGUGUUCUGAUAAUAGAGAUCGCCACCGGAGACAGGUGUCCUAGCGACGAAUCAUCAGGACGGUCAUAUAUCGAGAAUGCAGUAAAUACUUGGAUGCAAGGUUCCAACGUCGAAUUGAAGUACCCAUCACUUGAAGCGGGUUUCAUCCAACAAGUGGAGUGUUGGAUCAACAUUGGGCUGAAUUGUGUGGAUAUCCAACCCGAAAGAAGGCCUACUAUUGGACAAAUAAUGCAUUUCCUUGAGACUAAAUCUGCCAAUCCAGAGUAUUACUACUAUGGAGAAUUCAUCAUGUCCUCUGAGAGCAGCAUCACGGCAUGGUCUUCUUCAGAAAUGCGUAAUCAAGCGAAUGAACUGAAGGCCCUGGAGAGCAUGUUAAGUGAUGCAAGUGCAGAGCCAACAAAGCUAUCAUAUGCACUUUUAAAAUCAGUUACAAGAAAUUUUUCUCGAAUGAUUGGGCGUGGUGGGUUUGGAGCUGUUUACCUGGGAAUUCUUCCAAAAGGGAAAGUUGCUGUGAAGAAGCUCUGUAUAUUGCAGGAUUUAUCUAAUAAUGCAUUCGUGGACGAGAUUGUAUGUUUAAAAAAGGCACAUCAUAGUAAUGUAGUCAGACUUCUAGGCUAUUGUGCAGUUGCACACGGUGAACUGAUGGAAGUGAAUGGAACACAUGUUAUAGCAGAGGAAACACAAAGGUUACUCUGCUUUGAGUAUGUUCCUAAUGGAGACCUUCAGAAUUAUAUUAAAGAGAAAUGUGCUGGACAUGAAUGGCAAAUACGUUACCAAAUGAUUAAGGGGAUCUGCCAUGGUCUACACUACCUUCACAAACAACGCAUUACUCAUCUGGAUCUGAAACCUGAGAACGUUCUGCUGGAUGCUAACAUGGAACCAAAAAUUACAGACUUUGGUCUGUCAAGAUUCCUUGCUGAAGGGGAAUCCAUAAUUGUGACCAAGCAAAUAUUUGGAACACGGGGAUCAAUUGCACCAGAACUUAUUAAUAGUGGUGAAAUAUCAUUCAAGUCAGACAUAUAUGGCUUGGGUGUCAUAAUCACAAAACUAUUAACAAGAGAUAACAACUACGAUUUCGAAAAUUGGCAUAAAACACUAGAGGUGGGCUGCUCACAAGAGAAAAGGUGUGUUGAGAUAGCUCGAAAAUGUGUGGAGUAUGACCAACAUAAGAGGCCUACGAUGGAUGAGAUCAUGCAGGAGCUGAACGAGAUGGAGAACACUAUCCAAGAGAAGAAGCCUUCAGUUGUUCAAAAAUGGAGAAACAACCUGUCGUCUUCACUGAAGGGGCACUGGAGACAGAGGAAGGAUCGAAACUAG
RNAcentral lists this ribosomal RNA (1506 nucleotides) under Triticum aestivum (bread wheat). RNAcentral's name for it is "partial small subunit ribosomal RNA". The record is from RNAcentral. Lineage: Eukaryota; Viridiplantae; Streptophyta; Magnoliopsida; Poales; Poaceae.